GUCCAUGCCGUAAACGAUGAGUGCUAGUUGUUGGUUCCUUACGGAAUCAGUGACGCAGCUAACGCAUUAAGCACUCCACCUGGGGAGUACGAUCGCAAGGUUGAAACUCAAAGAAAUUGACGGGGCCCGCACAAGCGGUGGAGCAUGUGGAUUAAUUCGAUGCAACGCGAAGAACCUUACCUGGGCUCGAAGUGUACCGGACAGUCUGUGAAAGCAGAUCUUCCGCAAGGACUGGUACAUAGGUGCUGCAUGGCUGUCGU
RNAcentral lists this ribosomal RNA (260 nucleotides) under uncultured bacterium. RNAcentral's name for it is "partial 16S ribosomal RNA". It matches the Rfam family "Bacterial small subunit ribosomal RNA", at positions 793 to 1055 of the family's 1533-position model. The record is from RNAcentral.